UUCCCUGAUGAUUGCAUGGACCUCGUCCAUUCCUUCUUCCUCCUCUGUUCGGCUGGUCCUCCUCUCGUCUCCUCCUCGAUCCGUCCACCUUCUCUUCCUCCGGCAAUUGUCGCCGUCGGCCGCCACGCUAACUAAGAUUUUCAGAGUUCCUGUUGCUACCUCGCCGUCACCGCCACCGUUGGUCCACGGCUGGUCUUGUAUUGCUCCUACCGGUGC
RNAcentral lists this long non-coding RNA (216 nucleotides) under Panicum hallii. RNAcentral's name for it is "long non-coding RNA (PHAL_LNC000822)". Lineage: Eukaryota; Viridiplantae; Streptophyta; Magnoliopsida; Poales; Poaceae. The record is from RNAcentral.